GCCGCACAGGUCUAAAUGGCUGAGACAUCUGCCUUCCAAGCAGAGGAACCGGGUUCGAUUCCCGGGUGCGGUUCGA
This 76-nucleotide transfer RNA is filed under the name Actinomadura sp. CNU-125. Its description in RNAcentral is "tRNA-Gly". It matches the Rfam family "tRNA". Rfam says of the family: Transfer RNA (tRNA) molecules are approximately 80 nucleotides in length. Their secondary structure includes four short double-helical elements and three loops (D, anti-codon, and T loops). Further hydrogen bonds mediate the characteristic L-shaped molecular structure. tRNAs have two regions of fundamental functional importance: the anti-codon, which is responsible for specific mRNA codon recognition, and the 3' end, to which the tRNAs corresponding amino acid is attached (by aminoacyl-tRNA synthetases). tRNAs cope with the degeneracy of the genetic code in two manners: having more than one tRNA (with a specific anti-codon) for a particular amino acid; and 'wobble' base-pairing, i.e. permitting non-standard base-pairing at the 3rd anti-codon position. Lineage: Bacteria; Bacillati; Actinomycetota; Actinomycetes; Streptosporangiales; Thermomonosporaceae. The record is from RNAcentral.